RNAcentral lists this ribosomal RNA (425 nucleotides) under uncultured bacterium. RNAcentral's name for it is "bacterial SSU rRNA". It matches the Rfam family "Bacterial small subunit ribosomal RNA", at positions 358 to 775 of the family's 1533-position model. The record is from RNAcentral.
GGGAUAUUGGACAAUGGGGGGAACCCUGAUCCAGCGACGCCGCGUGAGUGAAGAAGGUUUUCGGAUCGUAAAGCCCUGUUGUUGGUGAAGAAGGAUAGAGGUAGUAACUGGCCCCUAUUUGACGGUAAUCAACCAGAAAGUCACGGCUAACUACGUGCCAGCAGCCGCGGUAAUACGUAGGUGGCAAGCGUUGUCCGGAUUUAUUGGGCGUAAAGCGAGCGCAGGCGGAAAGAUAAGUCUGAUGUGAAAGCCCCCGGCUUAACCGAGGAAUUGCAUCGGAAACUGUGUUUCUUGAGUGCAGAAGAGGAGAGUGGAACUCCAUGUGUAGCGGUGGAAUGCGUAGAUAUAUGGAAGAACACCAGUGGCGAAGGCGGCUCUCUGGUCUGUAACUGACGCUGAGGCUCGAAAGCAUGGGUAGCGAACAG